This 253-nucleotide ribosomal RNA is filed under the name uncultured bacterium. RNAcentral describes it as "partial 16S ribosomal RNA". It matches the Rfam family "Bacterial small subunit ribosomal RNA", at positions 524 to 776 of the family's 1533-position model. The record is from RNAcentral.
UACGUAGGGACCAAGCGUUGUCCGGAAUCAUUGGGCGUAAAGAGCGUGUAGGCGGCUUGUUAAGUCUUGCGUGAAAUCUCGGGGCUCAACCCCGAGCGGUCGUGAGAAACUGGCAGGCUAGAGUGCGGGAGAGGAGAGUGGAAUUCCUGGUGUAGCGGUGAAAUGCGCAGAUAUCAGGAGGAACACCGGUGGCGAAGGCGGUUCUCUGGGCAUGUCCUGACGCUGAGGGACGAAAGCUAGGGGAGCGAAUGGG